GACGAACGCUGGCGGCGUGCUUAACACAUGCAAGUCGAACGGAAAGGCCCUGCUUUUGUGGGGUGCUCGAGUGGCGAACGGGGGAGUAACACGUGAGUAACCUGCCCUUGACUUUGGGAUAACUUCAGGAAACUGGGGCUAAUACCGGAUAGGAGCUCCUGCUGCAUGGUGGGGGUUGGAAAGUUUCGGCGGUUGGGGAUGGACUCGCGGCUUAUCAGCUUGUUGGUGGGGUAGUGGCUUACCAAGGCUUUGACGGGUAGCCGGCCUGGGAGGGUGACCGGCCACAUUGGGACUGAGAUACGGCCCAGACUCCUACGGGAGGCAGCAGUGGGGAAUAUUGCACAAUGGGCGGAAGCCUGAUGCAGCAACGCCGCGUGCGGGAUGACGGCCUUCGGGUUGUAAACCGCUUUCGCCUGUGACGAAGCGUGAGUGACGGUAAUGGGUAAAGAAGCACCGGCUAACUACGUG
This 468-nucleotide ribosomal RNA is filed under the name uncultured bacterium. Its description in RNAcentral is "partial 16S ribosomal RNA". It matches the Rfam family "Bacterial small subunit ribosomal RNA", at positions 28 to 507 of the family's 1533-position model. The record is from RNAcentral.